RNAcentral lists this ribosomal RNA (231 nucleotides) under uncultured bacterium. RNAcentral describes it as "partial small subunit ribosomal RNA". It matches the Rfam family "Bacterial small subunit ribosomal RNA", at positions 26 to 285 of the family's 1533-position model. The record is from RNAcentral.
AGAAUGAACGCUGGCGGCAUGCCUAACACAUGCAAGUCGAACGAGACCUUCGGGUCUAGUGGCGCACGGGUGCGUAACGCGUGGGAAUCUGCCCUUGGGUUCGGAAUAACUCAGAGAAAUUUGAGCUAAUACCGGAUGAUGUCGAAAGACCAAAGAUUUAUCGCCCAGGGAUGAGCCCGCGUAGGAUUAGCUAGUUGGUGGGGUAAUGGCCUACCAAGGCAACGAUCAGUA